Molecule: ribosomal RNA, 730 nt
Filed under: uncultured Pseudomonadota bacterium
Lineage: Bacteria; Pseudomonadati; Pseudomonadota
Description: bacterial SSU rRNA
Rfam family: Bacterial small subunit ribosomal RNA
Source: RNAcentral
UAACACAUGCAAGUCGAGCGGAUGAAGGGAGCUUGCUCCUGGAUUCAGCGGCGGACGGGUGAGUAAUGCCUAGGAAUCUGCCUGGUAGUGGGGGAUAACGUCCGGAAACGGGUGCUAAUACCGCAUACGUCCUGAGGGAGAAAGUGGGGGAUCUUCGGACCUCACGCUAUCAGAUGAGCCUAGGUCGGAUUAGCUAGUUGGUUGGGUAAAGGCCUACCAAGGCGACGAUCCGUAACUGGUCUGAGAGGAUGAUCAGUCACACUGGAACUGAGACACGGUCCAGACUCCUACGGGAGGCAGCAGUGGGGAAUAUUGGACAAUGGGCGAAAGCCUGAUCCAGCCAUGCCGCGUGUGUGAAGAAGGUCUUCGGAUUGUAAAGCACUUUAAGUUGGGAGGAAGGGCAGUAAGUUAAUACCUUGCUGUUUUGACGUUACCAACAGAAUAAGCACCGGCUAACUUCGUGCCAGCAGCCGCGGUAAUACGAAGGGUGCAAGCGUUAAUCGGAAUUACUGGGCGUAAAGCGCGCGUAGGUGGUUCAGCAAGUUGGAUGUGAAAUCCCCGGGCUCAACCUGGGAACUGCAUCCAAAACUACUGAGCUAGAGUACGGUAGAGGGUGGUGGAAUUUCCUGUGUAGCGGUGAAAUGCGUAGAUAUAGGAAGGAACACCAGUGGCGAAGGCGACCACCUGGACUGAUACUGACACUGGAGGUGCGAAAGCGUGGGGAGCAAAC